Molecule: long non-coding RNA, 925 nt
Filed under: Nicotiana tabacum (common tobacco)
Lineage: Eukaryota; Viridiplantae; Streptophyta; Magnoliopsida; Solanales; Solanaceae
Description: long non-coding RNA (NTAB_LNC015275)
Source: RNAcentral
AGAGACGGUAGAGUUGGAAUAUCUGGUCUUAGAUUAUUCCCCCUCUUUUAUCUUAUCCUGAGCCUUUCCAUACCAGAGAAGAAGAAAAAAUAACCAAAUCUUUCGUUUUUUUAAGAAUUUAUUUAAGUAUAUAAUAUGAGUCGAUAUUAAUGGAGUCAAGUGGAUAAGAUAUUCAACUGCCAAAGUGAUGACAUGUAAGUUCAUUUCUUUUGUUUCAUUCACGCCGUUUUCCUCCCCUUUUCUUCUCCCCUAGCAGAAAGAUAUAUAUAGCAAUCUGACAUGACAUGAUUCGUAGUAGAACAAUUAUUUUAGCUGAUUUCAUGUAUGGUAUGUUGUUUUUUGAGAAAAAUGAGGAUAGUGAUUUAAAUUCAUUGAAGUUCUUUUGGUUAGAGAAUAUAAGGAAAGACAAUAAUUGAUCAGCUAAGUGUAUAUAUUUUCAAGAAUUAAAUGGAAUAAAGUUUAUCAUCAUUAUCAUUUGUCAAAAAUAUUUACACAGUAGAAAGGUGAUAAAAAUUCAAAUAUAGUCAAAACUUAUAUGCUCACAACCAUCAAAUCAAAAAAUGCAAAAUAUGUAUUCUGUUAUAAGAGAAAUCAAAUUAUGUUGGAUGUCUACUCUUCCUCCAUGAUCUUCUCAAAUACUUAAUGACAUAUUCAAUGACAUAUUUCUAUGCUUAAUGACAUAUUCAAUGACAUAUUUUUAUUCACUUUUCAUGUCUAUAUAAAGGCCUUGUAAUAGAUAGGAAAAACACACAAUUGAAGAAGAAAUAAGAAUCUCUCUUCUUCUCUUUCUCUCUAUAUCUCUUAGCUUGUUUUUUCUUGUUCGAUAUUGUUAUUUUGAGUUAUAUUUAUAACAUGUUAUCAGCACGAUUGUCACCUUCAUUUUUACAAUCAGAUCCUAAUUGUGUUCGAUUCUCCUUCAGGUAUG